This 298-nucleotide long non-coding RNA is filed under the name Mytilus galloprovincialis (Mediterranean mussel). The record is from RNAcentral. Lineage: Eukaryota; Metazoa; Mollusca; Bivalvia; Mytilida; Mytilidae.
UAGAUUGGUGGAAGGUAUGUUGUAGUGUAUGAUUGGUGGAAGGUAUGUUGGUAGUGUAUGAUUGGUGGAAGGUAUGUUGGUAGUGUAUGAUUGGUGGAAGGUAUGUUGGUAUUGUAUUAUUGGUGGAAGGCAUGUUGGUAGUGUAUGAUUGGUGGAAGGUAUGUUGGUAGUGUAUGAUUGGUUGAAGGUAUGUUAGUAGUGUAUGAUUGGUGGAAGGUAUGUUGGUAGUGUGUUGGUAGUGCAUGAUUGGUGGAAGGUAUGUUGGUAUUGUAUUAUUGGUGGAAGGUAUGUUGGUAGU